This 2492-nucleotide long non-coding RNA is filed under the name Monodelphis domestica (gray short-tailed opossum). RNAcentral's name for it is "lncRNA (ENSMODG00000044181.1)". The record is from RNAcentral. Lineage: Eukaryota; Metazoa; Chordata; Mammalia; Didelphimorphia; Didelphidae.
AUGUUGACUUAGAGAAUCCUCUAGCCAUAUUACCUAUAUUUCAUUUUUUAUAUUCUGUUAACUAGUUACUAAUUACAUUUUAAUCUUGUCUACCAUGCCACUCUUUGGUGCGUGGCACUGUUUCACACCUCUGGACUAAGCCAUGUUAUUCCCCUUGAGGGCAGGAACUGGUUGCACUAAUAAAUAUUUGUUGGUUGACUGGAUUGAUUGGUACAAUUGGGUUCAUCCUUGUUGUUGCUAGGGAAGCUUGUUAUGAAACAUAGGGAAUGAAAUUACAUAAGUCUCAAAUGAAAGAAAAAGAAGUCUGCAUAUCAAAUGUAACAAAGGUAGUAAAAUGGAAAGACUAGGUAGAUCUGGGCUGAGGUAUCUGUCAAUUUUUGCUGCUGCUUUUUGAGUGCUGGCUAACGAUUAUAAGUUUUAAAGCAAAUGAAAAGUUUAUUCAGGAUAAAGAAUCUGUUGUUUCCUCAUAGGGCCAAAUACUCAGCCAAUAAAAGAUGAUUAUAUCACAGAGCACUUAUGAUAUGUCACAUCACCAAGGUAACAGGAGGGAUGGUGAUAAACAAAGGGUGGAGCCUGGGGAGAUCAUUUCUGAAAAGAAAAAGAUGAGUGAUAAAGUAGAGAACAAGGAAUACAAGAUGAAAGCAUGUGAUAGAUCUAUUGUGAAUUGACUGUAUGUUCAUCAAAUGAAAGAACAAAUGGAGCAAUUUCAAAAUCAGAAGAAGCAAAGCAAUAAAGAAGUACUGAAUUUUCUGGUGAUAAACUAAGAAGAAGAAGCAAAUAUGAACACAUGUGAUACUUGAAGAAGAGAAAAUUAUUCUUGUGCAAGGAGCUUUUGAUAUCUUUUAAACUUCUCUGAAAAAAAUGAUGCAAAGAAGAGUCCAACAAUUAGAUUUAUUUUCUUGUCAAAUAGACAAAGGUGACAACGAACUGGGGCUUUGUACUUGUAUCUUCUUUGAUCCAGCAGAUGAGGAUGGAAAGGAACCAGGGGUUUUUAUAACUGAAAUUAUUGAAGGAGGUGCAGUUCACAAACUUGGAUGUAUCCGUGUAUUUGACCAGAUUAUUAAAAUAGGUGACAUCAAUCUAAUUGGAUUGGAUGAAGCAGAAAUCGUCUCUACUUUUAAAAAAAUGGACGAUUCUCCUUUCCAGAUUGAAAUUGGCCGCGAACCACCUGAAGUCAAGUCAGAACUUAUCGAACUCCUCGAGUUGUCAGAGGAAAGGAAGAAAUAUUUUAUGGAUUCGCUCAUAGUACAGGAAAAAAUUAGAGAUAUCACUAUUGUGAGAGGACAAGCAAGUAUUUGUAGAAGUCCAAGAGUACCAUGGUACUGGAUGGCCAGUGACCUGAAAUUUGUUAUUGGGGCACUGAAAAUAUUAAUAGAAGAAGAUCAGGGAUGUAGAAAAAACAUCCAAGCUAUCUUUGAGCAGGCUAACAUUUUUCAAGAGAAAUAUAAAGACAUGAACACAUACAAAGUAAAUAUGGAACAGAAACCUGAUGAAUCAAAUAAAGAAGGCACAUUUUUACCAUUGGCCCCAGAAGAAGAAUUAUUACUAGAACAAUUUAAAAUAAAACCUAAAGAGAUAAAAAGUGAAGAUUUAUCACCAGGGCAAUUAUUAGCCCAAGGGGAUUUCAAUUCAGGUAAGACAUAUAUCCUUGCUUAAAACAUUUGACCCUAAAGUUUUCCGAUAGAAAAGAGAAAUUUGGAACAAAUGUUUCCAUCACUCACCGAAUCUCUGGUCUCUAUUCCUUUUCCCUUCAUAUCUCUAAUAAUGAGAAUGCUAGCUGCUUUAUAAGGCUUUCUCAACUAUUGGUGAUCCCUCUCUUGGUGAUUGAACUAUAAGGGACCUUGGAAAUAUUCUACUAUAACAUUUUAAUUGCUAUAGAAAUCUAUCCUAUAUGUAUGUCAGAAUGUCAUUUAGCUUCUGCCUCAAAAUAUGCAGUGAUAGGAAACUCAUUUUCUCAACAUCCAGGCCACACUAUUGCUAAAUUACUUAAGCUUUUAGAAAAGAUUUCAGUACAAUUUUUUUUGCUCAGGCUUUUUUUUAUAAUUUAGUCCUUUUCCCUUCUUUUGAAAUAAUACAGAAAAAGAUCUUGUUCCUCUUUCCCUAUUACUAUCCAUUUGACCUAUAAAAUCAACUUAUUUUCCACCUAACACUUUUUUUAAUCUCUAUGAUCAUGUUUAGCCUGAAGACAAUCUUUAUAUGAUUUCUUAUUACAUCGUUGGGACAUGGUUUUGUUUAGAGUCUAUUACCCAUCCUACUUUAAUGACAUCCAUUUUGGUUUAUCAACAUUCUGUUGGUCUCAUUGCAACAAAAUCUUUUUUUUUUUAAUUCAAUUACUUAUAGGAAUAAUUUUGGCCAUUUCUUUUGUCAUUUUAAAAUUCAGAUACCCCCAUCUCCCUUUCCCUACCUGAGGGGGUGAAGAAUCUGAUAUAGGUUAUACUCAUACUAUCAUGUAAUACCUAUUUCCAUAUGGUUCCCAUCAUGAUAAUGACACA